UACCAGCACCCCGAGUGGUCGGGACGUUUAUUGGGCCUAAAGCAUCCGUAGCCGGUUCUACAAGUCUUCCGUUAAAUCCAGCUGCUUAACAGAUGGGCUGCGGAAGAUACUAUGGAGCUAGGAGGCGGGAGAGGCAAGCGGUACUCGAUGGGUAGGGGUAAAAUCCGUUGAUCCAUUGAAGACCACCAGUGGCGAAGGCGGUUCUCUGGGCAUUACCUGACGCUGAGGAGCGAAAGUGUGGGGAGCGAACAGG
This 253-nucleotide ribosomal RNA is filed under the name uncultured bacterium. RNAcentral's name for it is "partial 16S ribosomal RNA". It matches the Rfam family "Archaeal small subunit ribosomal RNA", at positions 474 to 727 of the family's 1478-position model. The record is from RNAcentral.